RNAcentral lists this transfer RNA (71 nucleotides) under Yaniella sp. RNAcentral describes it as "tRNA-Gly". It matches the Rfam family "tRNA". From Rfam's summary of the family: Transfer RNA (tRNA) molecules are approximately 80 nucleotides in length. Their secondary structure includes four short double-helical elements and three loops (D, anti-codon, and T loops). The record is from RNAcentral. Lineage: Bacteria; Bacillati; Actinomycetota; Actinomycetes; Micrococcales; Micrococcaceae.
GCGGGUGUAGCUCAAUGGUAGAGCGCUUGCUUCCCAAUCAAGAUACGCGGGUUCGAUUCCCGUCACCCGCU